UGGGGAAUAUUGCACAAUGGAGGGAACUCUGAUGCAGCGACGCCGCGUGAACGAAGAAGGCUUUCGAGUCGUAAAGUUCUUUUAUAUGGGAAGAUAAUGACGGUACCAUAAGAAAAAGCCCCGGCUAACUACGUGCCAGCAGCCGCGGUAAUACGUAGGGGGCUAGCGUUGUCCGGAAUCACUGGGCGUAAAGGGUUCGCAGGCGGAAAUGCAAGUCAGGUGUAAAAGGCAGUAGCUUAACUACUGUAAGCAUUUGAAACUGCAUAUCUUGAGAAGAGUAGAGGUAAGUGGAAUUUUUGGUGUAGCGGUGAAAUGCGUAGAUAUUAAAAAGAAUACCGGUGGCGAAGGCGACUUACUGGGCUCAUUCUGACACUGAGGAACGAAAGCGUGGGUAGCAAACAGG
This 403-nucleotide ribosomal RNA is filed under the name Fusobacteriota bacterium. Its description in RNAcentral is "Fusobacteria bacterium partial 16S ribosomal RNA". It matches the Rfam family "Bacterial small subunit ribosomal RNA", at positions 355 to 776 of the family's 1533-position model. The record is from RNAcentral. Lineage: Bacteria; Fusobacteriati; Fusobacteriota.